This 417-nucleotide ribosomal RNA is filed under the name uncultured bacterium. RNAcentral's name for it is "bacterial SSU rRNA". It matches the Rfam family "Bacterial small subunit ribosomal RNA", at positions 362 to 776 of the family's 1533-position model. The record is from RNAcentral.
UAUUGGUCAAUGGGCGAGAGCCUGAACCAGCCAAGUCGCGUGAGGGAAGACGCCCCUACGGGUUGUAAACCUCUUUUGCCGGGGAGCAAUGGCCGACACGCGUGUCGGCAGGGAGAGUACCCGGUGAAAAAGCAUCGGCUAACUCCGUGCCAGCAGCCGCGGUAAUACGGAGGAUGCGAGCGUUAUCCGGAUUCAUUGGGUUUAAAGGGUGCGCAGGCGGAGCGGCAAGCCGGCGGUAAAAUCGUGGGGCCCAACCCCAUCCCGCCGUCGGAACUGGCGCCCUUGAGUGGCCGAGAGGUAGGCGGAAUGCGUGGUGUAGCGGUGAAAUGCAUAGAUAUCACGCAGAACGCCGAUUGCGAAGGCAGCCUACUGGCGGCCCACUGACGCUCAGGCACGAAAGCGUGGGGAUCAAACAGG